GUUUGUCACGUCGUCUGUGAAAUCCUCCAGCUCAACUGGGGGCGUGCAGGCGAUACGGGCAGACUUGAGUACUACAGGGGAGACUGGAAUUCCUGGUGUAGCGGUGAAAUGCGCAGAUAUCAUGAGGAACACCGGUGGCGAAAGCGGGUCUCUGGGUAGUAACUGACGCUGAGGAGCGAAAGCAUGGGGAGCAAACAGGAUUAGAUACCCUGGUAGUCCAUGCCGUAAACGGUGGGCGCUACGUGUGGGGUCCUUCCACGGAUUCCGUGCCGUAGCUAACGCAUUAAGCGCCCCGCUUGGGGAGUAACGGCCGCAAGGCUAAAACUCACAGGAAUUGACGGGGGCCCGCACAAGCGGCGGAGCAUGUGGAUUUAAUUCGAUGCAACGCGAAGAACCUUACCUAGGCUUGACAUAUACAGGACGACGGCAGAGAUGUCGUUUCCCUUGUGGCUUGUAUACAGGUGGUGCAUGGUUGUCGUCAGCUCGUGUCGUGAGAUGUUGGGCUAAGUCCCGCAACGAGCGCAACCCCUGUCUCAUGUUGCCAGCACGUUAUGGUGGGGACUCGUGAGAGACUGCCGGGGUCAACUCGGAGGAAGGUGGGGAUGACGUCAAAUCAUCAUGCCCCUUAUGUCUAGGGCUUCACACAUGCUACAAUGGUUAGUACAGAGGGCUGCGAGACCGCGAGGUGGAGCGAAUCCCUUAAAGCUAGUCUCAGUUCGGAUUGGGGUCUGCAACUCGACCACAUGAAGUCGGAGUCGCUAGUA
This 764-nucleotide ribosomal RNA is filed under the name uncultured bacterium. RNAcentral's name for it is "bacterial SSU rRNA". It matches the Rfam family "Bacterial small subunit ribosomal RNA", at positions 578 to 1340 of the family's 1533-position model. The record is from RNAcentral.